This 500-nucleotide ribosomal RNA is filed under the name uncultured bacterium. Its description in RNAcentral is "partial 16S ribosomal RNA". It matches the Rfam family "Bacterial small subunit ribosomal RNA", at positions 30 to 523 of the family's 1533-position model. The record is from RNAcentral.
AUUGAACGCUGGCGGAAUGCUUUACACAUGCAAGUCGAACGGCAGCACGGACUUCGGUCUGGUGGCGAGUGGCGAACGGGUGAGUAAUGCAUCGGAACGUGCCCAGUCGUGGGGGAUAACGUAGUGAAAAUUACGCUAAUACCGCAUACGCUCUAUGGAAGAAAGCGGGGGAUCGCAAGACCUUGCGCGAUUGGAGCGGCCGAUAUCAGAUUAGGUAGUUGGUGGGGGAAAGGCCCACCAAGCCAACGAUCUGUAGCUGGUCUGAGAGGACGACCAGCCACACUGGAACUGAGACACGGUCCAGACUCCUACGGGAGGCAGCAGUGGGGAAUUUUGGACAAUGGGCGAAAGCCUGGUCCAGCCAUUCCGCGUGCAGGAUGAAGGCCCUCGGGUUGUAAACUGCUUUUGUACAGAACGAAAAGGUUUCUACUAAUACUAGGAGCUCAUGACGGUACUGUAAGAAUAAGCACCGGCUAACUACGUGCCAGCCGCCGCGGUAA